GCUCCCGGAGGGCAAACCCGCGCGAAAGCCGGGGACGCAAAGCCACAGGUCUAAGGUUUCCCGCAGAACGCUAUAUGCGGAGAACUAUGACGGCUGGGCUGCAGGG
This 106-nucleotide non-coding RNA is filed under the name Desulfofundulus australicus. Its description in RNAcentral is "Desulfotomaculum australicum c-di-GMP sequence". It matches the Rfam family "c-di-GMP-I riboswitch aptamer". Rfam says of the family: GEMM was predicted in a large-scale screen for bacterial structured RNA regulatory elements. Genes associated with GEMM are involved in a diverse array of functions, including chemotaxis regulation, signal transduction, secretion and chitin. The record is from RNAcentral. RNAcentral also lists the same sequence under 1 other name. Lineage: Bacteria; Bacillati; Bacillota; Clostridia; Eubacteriales; Peptococcaceae.